This 394-nucleotide ribosomal RNA is filed under the name uncultured bacterium. RNAcentral describes it as "partial 16S ribosomal RNA". It matches the Rfam family "Bacterial small subunit ribosomal RNA", at positions 523 to 918 of the family's 1533-position model. The record is from RNAcentral.
AUACGUAGGGGACGAGCGUUGUCCGGAAUUACUGGGCGCAAAGGGCGCGCAGGCGGAUAUUUAAGUCAGCUGUAAAAGGCAUGAGCUCAACUCAUGUAUGCGGUUGAAACUGGGUAUCUAGAGUGCUGGAGAGGUAGGCGGAAUUCCCGGUGUUGUGGUGAAAUGCGUAGAUAUCGGGAAGAACAUCAGUGGCCAAGGCGGCUUACUGGCCAGCAACUGACGCUGAGGCGCGAAAGCCAGGGGAGCGAACGGGAUUAGAUACCCCGGUAGUCCUGGCCGUAAACGAUGAAUGCUAGGUGUGGGUGUCGAGAGGCAUCCGUGCCGGAGUUAACGCGAUAAGCAUUCCGCCUGGGGAGUACGAUCGCAAGAUUGAAACUCAAAUGAAUCGGCGGGG